GAUGAACGCUAGCGGCAGGCCUAACACAUGCAAGUCGAGGGGUAACAGUUCCGAGCAAUCGGAAGCUGACGACCGGCGCACGGGUGCGUAACGCGUAUGCAACCUACCUCUGACUGGAGGAUAGCCCGGAGAAAUCCGGAUUAAUACUCCAUAACAUCAUUCUAGGGCAUCCUUUAAUGAUUAAAGUUUUAAUGGUCAGAGAUGGGCAUGCGUGACAUUAGCUAGUUGGUGAGGUAACGGCUCACCAAGGCAACGAUGUCUAGGGGUUCUGAGAGGAUUGUCCCCCACACUGGUACUGAGACACGGACCAGACUCCUACGGGAGGCAGCAGUGAGGAAUAUUGGUCAAUGGACGCAAGUCUGAACCAGCCAUGCCGCGUGCAGGAUGACGGCCCUAUGGGUUGUAAACUGCUUUUAUACGGGAAGAAACCUUCGCACGUGUGCGGAGCUGACGGUACCGUAAGAAUAAGCACCGGCUAACUCCGU
RNAcentral lists this ribosomal RNA (485 nucleotides) under uncultured Bacteroidota bacterium. Its description in RNAcentral is "bacterial SSU rRNA". It matches the Rfam family "Bacterial small subunit ribosomal RNA", at positions 28 to 506 of the family's 1533-position model. The record is from RNAcentral. Lineage: Bacteria; Pseudomonadati; Bacteroidota.